GGGAGUGAGGAAGACGAUGCUUCUGCUGUUUCCAUUUCUUUUUCUUUUUUUGUUUUUCUUGAUUUUUAAUUAUUUCUUUUUUACUACUUAAUUUAUUUUGUUCUUUUUAAUAAAAAAAUCAGAAAAUAUUUAUAGGUUCUUAUUUUCUUUUAUUAUUAUUAUUUAUUUAUUUUUUAUUAUUAUUUUUUAUUUAGCUUAAUUUGUUUUUAACAGAGAUAAUAAAAAACCAUAAAAAUGUUUAUUUUGUUUUUUAUUUUGUUUUAGAUCUGUUAGCCCAGUUCAUAUAUUUAACACAGUAUAUCAGUAGCAAAUAUUGUUGAGUGGUCUAGUGGAAAGAGGUUAGUUUCAUAGUAUUAAAUGGAGAGGGUUCGAUACUCAUGUGUGGAACUUUUUGCUUUUUAUUUGAUUUUAUCUUCCUUUAGCAUUUUUUAUUCUUUUAGUAUGUUGAUUAAUAUCUUUUUAUGUUUAUUACACUCAUAUGUUCAUUUUGUUGAUAAUGUGUAGUUGUUGUAUUUUAGUUUAGUUCAAAAUCUUUUUUUCAAACUAUAAAAAUCACACUUUUCUCGAUUUAAUAUCGAGCCCAUUUUUACACCCUUGUAAGUCGAUUGCUUUUUUUAAGCAUCGCCAUCAACCUCACAUAGCUUACUCUUGGGCUUUCUUACAAUGAGCCGGUUCCCUCGCACUUACACUCAUACAUUGUUUAUUGUUUCAUUAUUUCAUUCUUUGAUUAUUUGAUUCGAUUAUAUAUUUGUUUAAAUAUUUUACUUGUGUGAUUAACUGUGGCCUACUUGUAUGGUGUAUGAGGCAUAUACUUAUAUUGUUUGAUUGCCAUGUCAAUCCCCAUUCAUAACAAAUGUAUCCCUCUCCCAUG
RNAcentral lists this long non-coding RNA (871 nucleotides) under Lathyrus oleraceus (garden pea). RNAcentral describes it as "Pisum sativum (pea) long non-coding RNA (PSAT_LNC033870)". Lineage: Eukaryota; Viridiplantae; Streptophyta; Magnoliopsida; Fabales; Fabaceae. The record is from RNAcentral.